GUGUGUUUUCGUAACGGGCAGACGACAGAAUUCACUUUAAAUUAACAUUGGUUCUUAUGGGAGUAUUCACCCAUCGGCAGAAAGUUGAGCAGAAAAAAAGAACUGUUCAAAUCAGAGACGAACUGUCGUUCAUCUUGCCGUUCUUUAUAAGGCCUAUCAACACAAUGCUAUUUUGCUUCGACCGAUCACUGCUCGUGAACCGUUUUGUCGAAAAAGAACUAAUUUCGGGAUUCUGUCGACGAGAACAGACAGCUUCGAAUCACUUUUCUGCUCUGAUCACGUGACACCGGCAGAAUUAUCUUUCUGUGGAUCAGACGCCAUGUUCUUUUUAACCUCAAUCUUUAAUUGUGGAUGGUUUGUUUUGAUAUUGGUUGUCAGAUUUCGGAUUGCUACUAUUAUACUGUGAAAUUAAUUUGCAGUGGAAAAUUGAGGUAUAAAAUAUUUCUAUUGGUUUCUUUAUUCUUAUAAUUUUUACAAGAGAAAUUGAAAAUGGAUUUGCAACAGAAAGGCGUGAAAUUUUCGAAGUUCAAAGUUUUGUACUUUCCAGACCUGCACAACGAAUUACCUAUUUGAAAAAUAGAAUAUGGUUAGAAAUUGCUGAUGUAAUAGAGGAUUCAAGUACCAUUUACAAACAAAAUAUUGAAGAGAAUGUGCUCAAAGUAAAUGCAUAUGAAUUCUUUUUUGUUGACCAGGAUGGAACAAUUCUUUGGAACCUAUACUUAGAAUAAAUUAGUUAGGCCUAGUGAUGUACCAGCCAGAAGUAGAGGAUGACAAAGAAAAUCAACUAUGAAUAAUAUUCCAUGGAUAUGAUUCAUGUAUGAUCUAGUAGCCUACAGAAGAAAGAGAUGGACUAAUCUAAGAAAUAUAUUCAUUUUUUCAG
Molecule: long non-coding RNA, 880 nt
Filed under: Nilaparvata lugens (brown planthopper)
Lineage: Eukaryota; Metazoa; Arthropoda; Insecta; Hemiptera; Delphacidae
Description: uncharacterized LOC120356388
Source: RNAcentral